Non-coding RNA from Heterocephalus glaber (naked mole-rat), 3100 nucleotides. NCBI's taxonomy places the organism in Eukaryota, Metazoa, Chordata, Mammalia, Rodentia, Bathyergidae. The record is from RefSeq and is a predicted model, not a curated record.
UUAAUUUGGCUUUUGUCACUCAGUUGGCCCCAGAUAUUAGGAAGAAAUUGCAGCAGAUGGAGGGAUUUGAGGGAGAAAAUAGGGAAAAAUUGAUGAGUGUGACAAUGAAGGUGUUUAAUAACAGGGAUCCUUUUGAUGACAGAAUGGCUAAAAAGAUAGAAAAAGCAAAUAUUGCAGCCUUAGCAGAUGGAGGUUUCAUCCAAAAGGAACACAGAGAAAAUAAAAAAGAGGAUAAAAGAAAAGUACGGCACUUGUUAGAGAAGGAUCAAUGCACAUAUUGCAAAGAGAAGGGCCAUUAUAAAAGGGAUUGUGAGAAGUUGAAAAGAAAGAGAGAGAAAGAGGCUAAGAAAGAAAAAUAUGGGGUUCUUCUAAUAGAUAAAGAAGAUUGACAAGGCCAGGGUGGGGAUCUCCAAACACAUCCACCAACUCCAGGCAGCCAGGAUCUUGAUCCCUUGCCAGUCAGCCUGGAAUACAACCCUGCUUCCCGUGAAAAAGCCUGGCACCUCAGACUUCAGGCUGGUACAGGAUUUGUGGGAGGUAAACAGCUGGGUGGAGAUGGUCCACCCAAUGGUACCAAACCCCUAUACUCUGUUGAGUCUCAUCCCUCCUGCUCAUGUGUGGUACUCGGUAUUAGACCUCAAAGAUGCGUUUUUCAGGCUGCCUCUAGCACCAGUUAGCCACUCCCUCUUUGCCUUCAAAUGGACUGACCCAGACACCAGGACUACCAGACAGCUGACAUGGACCCGGCUGCUGCAGGGAUUCAAAAACUCCCCCACUCUGUUCCAGGGAAGCUCUCAGCAAAGAUUUACACAAGGUAAGAAAAGUGUUUCCCCAGGCGACUAUUCUUCAGUAUGUUGAUGACCUCCUGGUGGCAACUUCAACUGAUAAAGAAGGCAUUUCAGCCACCAAGGGCCUCCUGAAAGCCCUCCAGGACCUGGGAUAUUGGGUGUCUUGGAAGAAAGCUCAGCUCUGCUGGACAAAGGUAACUACUUGGGCUAUAUUCAUGAAAAGGGAAAUAGGAGGUGGGUAGAAUCGAGGGUAUCUGCAAUUCUCCAGAUUCUAGAGCCGAGCUCAAAGAAACAGGUGUGAGAAAUCCUAGGGGUUGGUGGCUAUUGCAGAAUUUGGAUUCCUGGCUUUUCUGAGAUUGCCAAACCCCUGCAUGAAGUCACUGCAGGAGGAAAUAUGCCCCUUAAAUGGACCGAGGCUUGCCAGCAGGCAUUUCAAUUUCUUAAGACUGUGCUUACAUCGGCACCAGCCCUGGCAUUGCCAGACUUAAACAAGUCCUUCACCCUGUAUGUAGCAGAGAAAAAUGGGGUAGCCAAGGGAGUGAUUACUCAGCUUUUGGGGCCAUGGAAGUGACCCGUGGCAUAUCUCUCAAAGAAGCUCGAGCCAGUGGCCCUAGGGUGGCCUACUUGUCUGAGAGCAGUAGCAGCAGCAGCUGCUUUAACUGGAGAGGCUGACAAAUUGACCUUGGGACAGUAUUUGACUUUGAUCACUCCCCAUGCCAUUGAGCCCUUGUUGAAUAGCGCAACUAGCAAACAGCUGUCUAAUGCCAGACUGUUACAAUAUCAAGGACUCUUGUUAGAACAGCCAUGCAUUAAGUUUGCCACCACCACUAGCCUCAAUCCGGCUACUCUACUCCUGGAAUCUGAUGAACAAAUACCCAUCCAUGAUUCCCUCGAGGCUCUUGAAAACUUGAGGGGAGGACAUCCAGACUUGAUGGACCAGGCCCUCCCUCAUGCAGAGAUAACAUUCUAUAUUGAUGGGUGCAGUUUCUUUCAUGAUGGUGUAUGGUAUGCUGAAGCAGCGGUAGUCAACCAAGCCCAACAGGUGGAAUGGGAGCAUUGGCUGCCUCAAGGGACAUCAGCUCAGAAGGCUGAGCUGAUUGCUUUGACUAAGGCUCUGGAAUUGGGAAAAGGAAAAAGGAUAAAUAUAUUCACUGAUAGCCAUUAUGCUUUUGCCACCGCCCAUGUACAUGGGGAGAUUUAUCAAAAUAGAGGACUGUUGACCUCCGAAGGAAAGGAAAUCAAAAAUAACACUGAGAUAUUGGCAUUGCUACAAGCAAUCUGGUUGCCUCGAGAGGUCGCCAUCAUCCAUUGCCAUGGGCACUAGAAGGGGCUUAGCCCCGAGGUGAUUGGUAAUAAUGCUGCUGACCAGGCAGCAAAACAAGCCACCAAAAAAAUCAGUGGGGAAGUAAAUGGUUCUGCUUCCCACAUCGGUACUCCCACAAAAACCUGAAUACACAGAUAAAGAAUUAGCAGAAAUGAACAGAAGAUGCUGGACUUGAAGAAAACAUGGAUGGUUUAUGAGUAAGGAUAGAAAGGUGGUGCUCCCAGCUGCUGUAGCAGAUGUGUUGCUGCGAGAACUACAUGAGUCCACCCACCUCAGUGGGAAAAGGAUGAUGGCUGCCCUAUGACCUCAUUUUGUCAGCGAGGGAUUAGCCCAAAAGGUCCAGGACAUGGUGACAUGAUGCCCCACCUGCCUCAAGGUUUGAUUCCAAGACCCUGGAACCUCAUUGGAAGGGACUGGUUCCUGUUGUCCUGUCAACUCCCUUGGUGGUGAAGGUGGCUGGACAUUCUGCCUGGAUACAUCGCAACCAUCUGAAAACAGGAUACCCCCACAGAUGUCAAAAAGGACAAAUGGAAGGUUAUCAGCCAACCAGGCAACCAAAGGCUAAGAUUGGAGUGGGUUGGAGAUGUUUCGUCUUCAGGAUAAUAUUCUCUGGGACACUGACAGUGUUGCCCCCAAGAGGACUAGAUCACACAGAAAAUGUAUGGAUUCAUUUGGCAAACUCGCUUAAUUUGUCUGAAUUCUGUCUAAAUGUUGAUGUAAAUUUCCAUCAUGUAUUGGGGACAUGCCUCACGUCGUAAACCUAAAAAUGCUGUCAAAUUAUAUACACCUAGGGUAAUUAUGUCAAAUAAUACCCAAUGUACUAUGUACAAAAAUUGUACAACCAAAAGUCUGAGGAUAAAACAGUCAGGAGGAAUGCCCUGCCAUAUAAAACAAAAAAUUGUGUAUAACAAUUGCCAUCUCUCCCUGCCAAUAGGAUGGUUUUAUACCUGUGAAUGAAUAACUUUCAAUUAUAUCCCAGCCAAUUUAA